Molecule: ribosomal RNA, 115 nt
Filed under: Pseudodesulfovibrio senegalensis
Lineage: Bacteria; Pseudomonadati; Thermodesulfobacteriota; Desulfovibrionia; Desulfovibrionales; Desulfovibrionaceae
Source: RNAcentral
CUUGGUGGCCAAGGAGGAGUGGGUACACCCGACCCCUUUCCGAACUCGGAAGUUAAGCACUCCAUCGCCGAUGAUACUGCGGUCUAAGCCGUGGGAAAGUAGGUCGUUGCCAAGG